Molecule: ribosomal RNA, 555 nt
Filed under: Bifidobacterium pseudocatenulatum
Lineage: Bacteria; Bacillati; Actinomycetota; Actinomycetes; Bifidobacteriales; Bifidobacteriaceae
Description: bacterial SSU rRNA
Rfam family: Bacterial small subunit ribosomal RNA
Source: RNAcentral
UCUCCUGGAAACGGGUGGUAAUGCCGGAUGCUCCGACUCCUCGCAUGGGGUGUCGGGAAAGAUUUCAUCGGUAUGGGAUGGGGUCGCGUCCUAUCAGGUAGUCGGCGGGGUAACGGCCCACCGAGCCUACGACGGGUAGCCGGCCUGAGAGGGCGACCGGCCACAUUGGGACUGAGAUACGGCCCAGACUCCUACGGGAGGCAGCAGUGGGGAAUAUUGCACAAUGGGCGCAAGCCUGAUGCAGCGACGCCGCGUGCGGGAUGACGGCCUUCGGGUUGUAAACCGCUUUUGAUCGGGAGCAAGCCUUCGGGUGAGUGUACCUUUCGAAUAAGCACCGGCUAACUACGUGCCAGCAGCCGCGGUAAUACGUAGGGUGCAAGCGUUAUCCGGAAUUAUUGGGCGUAAAGGGCUCGUAGGCGGUUCGUCGCGUCCGGUGUGAAAGUCCAUCGCUUAACGGUGGAUCUGCGCCGGGUACGGGCGGGCUGGAGUGCGGUAGGGGAGACUGGAAUUCCCGGUGUAACGGUGGAAUGUGUAGAUAUCGGAAAGAACACCAGC